This 301-nucleotide ribosomal RNA is filed under the name uncultured bacterium. RNAcentral describes it as "partial 16S ribosomal RNA". It matches the Rfam family "Bacterial small subunit ribosomal RNA", at positions 509 to 807 of the family's 1533-position model. The record is from RNAcentral.
CAGUCGCCGCGGUAAUACGAAGGGGGCAAGCGUUGUUCGGAAUUACUGGGCGUAAAGGGCGCGUAGGCGGUGUACUAAGUCAGGCGUGAAAGCCCUGGGCUCAACCCGGGAAUUGCGUUUGAUACUGGUACGCUUGAAUCCAGGAGAGGUUGGUGGAAUUCCCAGUGUAGAGGUGAAAUUCGUAGAGAUUGGGAAGAACACCGGUGGCGAAGGCGGCCAACUGGACUGGUAUUGACGCUGAGGCGCGAAAGCGUGGGGAGCAAACAGGAUUAGAUACCCCCGUAGUCCCUGUCUCUUAUAC